UGUGGCGGUAGAAGCGGCGGAGUGAUCCAGCCGUGGACGCCACGCGAGUGAGAAUGCAGGCAUGAGUAGCGAAUGCAGAGUGAGAAUCUCUGCCGCCGAAUGACCAAGGGUUCCUGGGCCAGGUUGUUCCGCCCAGGGUGAGCCGGGACCUAAGGCGAGGCCGACAGGCGUAGUCGAUGGACAACGGGUUGAUAUUCCCGUACCGGCG
This 208-nucleotide ribosomal RNA is filed under the name Heterosigma akashiwo. Its description in RNAcentral is "partial Bacterial large subunit ribosomal RNA". It matches the Rfam family "Bacterial large subunit ribosomal RNA", at positions 1242 to 1449 of the family's 2925-position model. Lineage: Eukaryota; Raphidophyceae; Chattonellales; Chattonellaceae. The record is from RNAcentral.